RNAcentral lists this long non-coding RNA (436 nucleotides) under Arabidopsis lyrata. Its description in RNAcentral is "long non-coding RNA (ALYR_LNC003047)". Lineage: Eukaryota; Viridiplantae; Streptophyta; Magnoliopsida; Brassicales; Brassicaceae. The record is from RNAcentral.
CGAAUUAAACUCAAGUUGGUAUAUUGUUUAAUUAGUUUAUUGUCGAUCUAGUGCUACCAAACUAAUGGCGCUACAAAUUAAAGUCGUCUCCGAAUAUAUAUAUAUUUUUUUUUAUAAAAUCUAUCGGCUAUCUGGUCGGUCCCGGUAGGAACGCACCAAGAUGCUACAUAGUGGACUAGUGUACCGUGUUAACGGUUAGGCCUUUACGGGCUACCACUGUGCCUAUCCUGAGUUUGGAAUGCCUUCCGAUUAAGUGUCAGGUGGUAGUCAGGCCGCCUGCAUUUCUGACUAUCAGAUAAACCAAUUGGACCAAAGCACAACCGACGGACUUCCCACAAUAAUAUUGAUAACAACAGGAGAAGUCGAACCAUGGAGGAAGAGAGAAUUGCACCUAACCACCCUGGACCCACAAAGCCACCAGCCCACCAUCAUGUGG